This is a long non-coding RNA of Triticum aestivum (bread wheat), 4013 nucleotides long. RefSeq lists it as uncharacterized. The transcript is spliced from 9 exons. The record is from RefSeq and is a predicted model, not a curated record. Lineage: Eukaryota; Viridiplantae; Streptophyta; Magnoliopsida; Poales; Poaceae.
ACAAGAAAAAAAAAACGUACGCCUCCGCUCCUCUCUCGAUCCACCCCUCGCGAUGCGACCUCUCUCUCCCUCUUAGGGUUCCCUCAAGCGAGGCCUCCAGAUCCCUUCGCCGCAAGCCUCCGAUCACCUUCCCGGCUCCCGGUGCCGCCCGCCCCCAUCUCCUCCCCGAUCCCGGCGCCACCCGCCCCCACCUUCUCCCUCACUCCCGGCGCAGCCCCACGAUCCGUUGCAUCACAGUGGGACGAGUCAUGGCAAUGGUGACGGCGGCCGGCAUGGUGUCCCGGCCGCCGCAUGUCUCCCUCCUCCCGCGAUCUCGGCCGCCGCAUGUCUCCCUCCUCCCGCGAUCCCGGCCGCUGCAUGUCUCCCUCCUCCCCUGAUCCCGGUCACUGCAUGUCUCCCUCCACCUGCAGCUACACCUCUGCCCCUCGCCUCCCGCAUAGGUGCCAGAAGCCUUUUACGUCACGGAUCCGAGAGACUGGAGGCCGAUCUUGUCGGUGAGGAGACGGUGGCGGCGACGACGAGCCGCCCCCCUUGGCGCCGUUGCCGCUGGGCAUCGAUACAAAGGAGUGGUGGAUGCCAACGCCUCGAGGCCUGCCUCAAGUACAAAUCAUUAGCGUCAAAUAUUCAAUCAACAUACGACCACUAAGGGGAUCCAUCGGUGCAAUAUGAAUGAUGAAGGAGAAGAGCAACGAACACAAAUCUUCCCCAUGGCUAUUGAUUUUAUGCACAUCGGUUGCAUCAUGUGAUAUGGUAAACCAACAGAGGUAUGUGGAUAAUCCAAACUGCUUAUUUUUCGUCCGACACCGCCCCACCUUCAGUAACCUGUUUGCUAGCAAAAUGUCACACCAGGUUUGUUUCAAAGUAUCAGUUCAAAAUAUGGCGAUUGAAUAAAAAACACUAUCUUAUUUUUUAUCUCACGGAUCAUACUUUAAAGUUAAUAAUUUUUAUAAUGCUCUGUAAUAGAGUCAUGUUGGUUGUGUAAUUCUUGAGUGAGUUACAUGUUCUCUCCAUCACCCCCUUUAUUUUGUGCAAAUCAAUUGCCUUCUUCAUGUGUUUCAGCUGCUAGGACUGAAGGCCGAAGUAAUGUAUGUUUAAUCUCAGCAAUUUAGUUAUAAGUCUAAUUAAUUCAUACCAUCUCUGAAACAUUCAGUUUAAUUGGUUGCAUACUUGCCAAAGAUCGUAUGACACAGUAGCCAUGGACGCCACAUCAGCUUGGGAACAUGGCCACAACAGAUUGGUAUCUUCUCUUCUGAAAUUGGUUGCAUACUUGCCAAAGGUCGCAUGACUCAGCAGCCAUGGACGCCACAUCUGCUUGGGAAUGUGUCCGCAACAGAUUGAUAUUUGUUGGAUGGCAACUCUAAGCUGCAUGCAUGUUCAUUGGGAGAAUCAUGAUGAAUCUUUGAUGAACACUGUCAAAGAUGAAAAGCCGAAUUCUUUGAUUCCCCGGGCUGUCAGGGAUUUUGUACUUCCAGCAGGUUUUCUAGGUGAAUGUUGGCAUCCCCUUGUGGUUUGGUUAUGCAUCUAUGCAUUGCUUUUGCUCUUUGUCAUGGAGUACUAACUGUGGAGGUUCAAGUUUACAAUCUUAGAAAUGCAGUGAUUGAUGUGUUUUCCAAUCGUAAUGCAUCAAACAAAUUGUUUUGCAGGUUAUGUACUUUAAUUAUCUGUAUCUUACCAUUCUUACCAAGUACUGUCAAAUGUACAGCUUGAUUUUGUAUAUGUAUUUCCCUCAGUUUCUUGUAGGUUCCUGCAUAAGAGGUCAUUAUUGCAGAGUUGGAGACUGAUACUAUGUUUAUCAGUACAUGCUAUUGGAAUUCCCAACAAACUUGACAGGAUGGAUCAGUCACAUGUUGGUUACAUCAAGUCUUCUAAAGGUAUCCCGUAAUCUAUUAAUCAAGAUGUUUGCAGAACUAAAUAAUGUUGUAGUGACUGAACGAUUACCUGAUAAAUUAAAUUCAGUAAGUAUAUCAUUUACAGUAGCAUCUUAUUCUUAUGUGAUGUAAUAUAUGAUCAUAUGGAUUGCAGUAUUUGAUAGCUCCAAAAUAACUUCAAGAUUUUGCCACGUGCUCUCAAACAAUCGUAGUCCGAAAAUUUGGUGGCCAGUUGCUGCUAUCUCUACUCUGCUUCGUCCUUUCGUAAUGGCAAUAAGAAAUCUUGAUUGCUGCCGACAUGAAAUUCUAACUGAAUUUGUUAUUCAGCGGGCAAAUCCAACAUCUUUUUGUACUGUAUUUGCAUGUUCCAGGAUAAUUUGGUGGCAAAAGAGCUACAUCGUUUCUCACUAGACCAACAGACAAUAGUAGUGAUACCUUUGCAUUUAUAUAGUACCAUAUUUACUCAUCUAUAUACACUGUUCCUUUCAUUCCUCACACCACAAGUAUCUAACAGCCGGAUAGGUCCAGUCCAGCCGAGACACAUAUAUUCCAGUCCAACAUACUCCCUCCAUCCAAAAAAGCUUGUCCCAAGCUUUUUCGGAUGGAGGGAAUAUAUAGUCCAGGCACACAUGCUCUAACGUGAUUUCACGAGAGACAGUUAGGCCAUCAACGGUAUAUCCGUAAAGAAUAGCGACAGCUAAAGGAAACCAUUCAGCAGGUAAGAAUGAGAUAGACUUUUCAGUGCCAGGCAACCAUUGCGCUGUAGAGAAGUGGAACAACAUUCAUGGUACUGCUAUUGUUAAUCGAAAGAACUUUCUUUUGUUAACAUGGUACCCACUAACGCAUGCAUAUGCAUUUUUCUCCUGUAGUCCUAGAGGGAUAAAGACACAUAUAAUUACGAUGGAGGUGACAGGCCUGAAAAUAUCUUUUUUUUAAUCUUGAAGGCAGUACGAGAGGCCCUAAUGACAUAUAUACAGUACUAACAAGAAUAUGGGGGCUUUCAUAACUUGAGGUAUUUACCUAGAUCCUUGAGAUGCUAUUCGUAUUGGCCUGAAUGCAGUUGAAUUCUGAAUCAUAAACAAGCUGGGAGAUUUGUCUUCCACAUAGUAGUUUUUAGUGCAUGCUCGGAGAACAAGAUAAGAGGAGAGGCUUGAAUCUUGAGAUGACAAGGGUAGUCACCUGCUGUGACUAAAGGAAGGAGGUCAAUGAAGCAAAAGGCACGAAAAGGAAGGAGCAGCGCCACAGGGACGAUGUUGUAGGCAGCGCUUUGGAAGGAUUCGCUCCAGAGAAGUUACGGUAGUCGGCCAUCGCCUAGGGGAAGCAGGGAGGAUGUCAUUCGAAACGCCUGGGUCUAGAGGAGUGUGUCCAGGUGGUGGCCGAGGAUGGCAAUGAGCAAUUGGGUUGGGCAUUUGUCAACGUGAUGGCGUCGUUGCUCAAGGUACCAACACCCUUGUUUAGACCCAAUGUUUCUCGGCUAGCUGUGCAUGGCUGGGACUGUUUCGUGCAUAUAGGGGACGGCUCAUGCCAUCCACUUCCAAAGCAAUAAGGUAGCCAUCCAUGUCACUAUCGCUUGCUGUUAGUUUUUUUGGAUUCCAUAGGUGUUCCUUAAUGCAUCAAUCAUUUUCAAUUAGGACGGGAGUCUGAAAAAUGUUGUAAGAUUAUCGCCAUUUUUUUAAACUACAAAAGUCCAAAGAUUAGAAGCAUGAUCUUUUAUUUUUCAUGUUGCUCUACCUCAGUAGUGUCAAAUCAUAGGAACUUUUAUCACAUAUGCUAAUUUAUCCUUGAUGGCAAAUAAUCCGAACAAAAUAUUUGGAAGUAAUGGAGGCCUCGCCAGAGUAAGGGGGAAAAUUGUGGGAGUGGACGCACAUCAUGUAGACUUGAAAGGAGAAAAUAUUGGCAAAAAGUACCUCAAAGUUCGUAGUCUGAGUGUAGAAGGUUUGGGGAUUUUGAGCCGGAUGGGCCAUUGAUGGUUGCGGUUGGCUUGGAUAGGGAAUGUAGAGAUAGUAAGUGAAGAGGAGCAGGAGAAUGAAGACGAAGAAGAAUAAUGGUUUAUAGGCAGAAAAAAAUUAAGAAUGUUGCUUAAUGUGCAUGAGGAUCCAUACAAUGUAUAUUUGACACGAUUAAAGUUGACUCAUGUCGAGCCUC